CCGCCGCGCGGCGGGCGGGGCGGGGGCACGGGGGGAGGAAAGUAGGGGAUCGCAAGACCUCUCACUAUUGGAGCGGCCGAUGUCUGAUUAGCUAGUUGGCGGGGUAAAAGCCCACCAAGGCGACGAUCAGUAGCUGGUUUGAGAGAACGACCAGCCACACUGGGACUGAGACACGGCCCAGACUCCUACGGGAGGCAGCAGUGGGGAAUUUUGGACAAUGGGGGCAACCCUGAUCCAGCCAUGCCGCGUGCGGGAAGAAGGCCUUCGGGUUGUAAACCGCUUUUGUCAGGGAAGAAAUGGGCCGGGUUAAUACCUGGGGUUGAUGACGGUACCUGGAGAAUAAGCACCGGCUAACUACGUGCCAGCAGCCGCGGUAAUACGUAGGGUGCAAGCGUUAAUCGGAAUUACUGGGCGUAAAGCGUGCGCAGGCGGUUUGCAAGUCAGA
Molecule: ribosomal RNA, 445 nt
Filed under: uncultured Nitrosospira sp.
Lineage: Bacteria; Pseudomonadati; Pseudomonadota; Betaproteobacteria; Nitrosomonadales; Nitrosomonadaceae
Description: bacterial SSU rRNA
Rfam family: Bacterial small subunit ribosomal RNA
Source: RNAcentral